This 111-nucleotide non-coding RNA is filed under the name Fictibacillus enclensis. Its description in RNAcentral is "SAM-I sequence". It matches the Rfam family "SAM riboswitch aptamer (S box leader)". From Rfam's summary of the family: The SAM riboswitch is found upstream of a number of genes which code for proteins involved in methionine or cysteine biosynthesis in Gram-positive bacteria. The SAM riboswitch acts at the level of transcription termination control. The record is from Rfam by way of RNAcentral. Lineage: Bacteria; Bacillati; Bacillota; Bacilli; Caryophanales; Fictibacillaceae.
CUCUUAUCAAGAGUGGUGGAGGGACUGGCCCGAUGAUACCCGGCAACCUGCAGAGAUUAUUCUGUACUGGUGCCAAAUCCUGCAAAGGCAAAACACUUUGACAGAUAAGAG